Molecule: ribosomal RNA, 497 nt
Filed under: uncultured bacterium
Lineage: Bacteria
Description: partial 16S ribosomal RNA
Rfam family: Bacterial small subunit ribosomal RNA
Source: RNAcentral
GACGAACGCUGGCGGCGUGCCUAAUACAUGCAAGUUGAGGGAUGAAGAUUGGUGCUUGCACCAAUUUGAAGAGCAGCGAACGGGUGAGUAACGCGUGGGGAAUCUGCCUUUGAGCGGGGGACAACAUUUGGAAACGAAUGCUAAUACCGCAUAACAACUUUAAACAUAAGUUUUAAGUUUGAAAGAUGCAAUUGCAUCACUCAAAGAUGAUCCCGCGUUGUAUUAGCUAGUUGGUGAGGUAAAGGCUCACCAAGGCGAUGAUACAUAGCCGACCUGAGAGGGUGAUCGGCCACAUUGGGACUGAGACACGGCCCAAACUCCUACGGGAGGCAGCAGUAGGGAAUCUUCGGCAAUGGACGAAAGUCUGACCGAGCAACGCCGCGUGAGUGAAGAAGGUUUUCGGAUCGUAAAACUCUGUUGGUAGAGAAGAACGUUGGUGAGAGUGGAAAGCUCAUCAAGUGACGGUAACUACCCAGAAAGGGACGGCUAACUACGUG